AUUGAACGCUGGCGGCAUGCCUUACACAUGCAAGUCGAACGGCAGCACGGGUGCUUGCACCUGGUGGCGAGUGGCGAACGGGUGAGUAAUACAUCGGAACAUGUCCUGUAGUGGGGGAUAGCCCGGCGGAAGCCGGAUUAAUACCGCAUACGAUCCACGGAUGAAAGCGGGGGACCUUCGGGCCUCGCGCUAUAGGGUUGGCCGAUGGCUGAUUAGCUAGUUGGUGGGGUAAAGGCCUACCAAGGCGACGAUCAGUAGCUGGUCUGAGAGGACGACCAGCCACACUGGGACUGAGACACGGCCCAGACUCCUACGGGAGGCAGCAGUGGGGAAUUUUGGACAAUGGGCGAAAGCCUGAUCCAGCAAUGCCGCGUGUGUGAAGAAGGCCUUCGGGUUGUAAAGCACUUUUGUCCGGAAAGAAAUCCUUGACUCUAAUACAGUCGGGGGAUGACGGUACCGGAAGAAUAAGCACCGGCUAACUACGUG
Molecule: ribosomal RNA, 486 nt
Filed under: uncultured bacterium
Lineage: Bacteria
Description: partial 16S ribosomal RNA
Rfam family: Bacterial small subunit ribosomal RNA
Source: RNAcentral